Molecule: ribosomal RNA, 2446 nt
Filed under: Streptomyces cinnamoneus
Lineage: Bacteria; Bacillati; Actinomycetota; Actinomycetes; Kitasatosporales; Streptomycetaceae
Description: bacterial LSU rRNA
Rfam family: Bacterial large subunit ribosomal RNA
Source: RNAcentral
ACAGUGGACGCGAGCAUCUGUGGCCAAGUUUUUAAGGGCGCACGGUGGAUGCCUUGGCACCAGGAACCGAUGAAGGACGUGGGAGGCCACGAUAGGCCCCGGGGAGCUGUCAACCGAGCUUUGAUCCGGGGGUGUCCGAAUGGGGAAACCCGGCAGUCGUCAUGGGCUGUCACCCGCUGCUGAACACAUAGGCAGUGUGGAGGGAACGCGGGGAAGUGAAACAUCUCAGUACCCGCAGGAAGAGAAAACAACCGUGAUUCCGGGAGUAGUGGCGAGCGAAACCGGAUGAGGCCAAACCGUAUGUGUGUGAUACCCGGCAGGGGUUGCGCAUACGGGGUUGUGGGAGCUUCCUUGAUCAGUCUGCCGGCUGAUCGGAGAGUCAGAAACCGUAUAGAUAGGCGAAGGACAUGCGAAAGGUCCGGCGUAGAGGGUAAGACCCCCGUAGCUGAAAUCUAUGCGGCUCUCUUGGAAGCCACCCAAGUAGCACGGGGCCCGAGAAAUCCCGUGUGAAUCUGGCGGGACCACCCGCUAAGCCUAAAUAUUCCCUGGUGACCGAUAGCGGAUAGUACCGUGAGGGAAUGGUGAAAAGUACCGCGGGAGCGGAGUGAAAUAGUACCUGAAACCGUGUGCCUACAAGCCGUGGGAGCGUCGCGCAUCGAGCUUGCUCGGUGCGUCGUGACUGCGUGCCUUUUGAAGAAUGAGCCUGCGAGUUUGCGGUAUGUUGCGAGGUUAACCCGUGUGGGGAAGCCGUAGCGAAAGCGAGUCCGAAUAGGGCGUUUGAGUAGCGUGCCCAAGACCCGAAGCGGAGUGAUCUAGCCAUGGGCAGGUUGAAGCGGAGGUAAGACUUCGUGGAGGACCGAACCCACCAGGGUUGAAAACCUGGGGGAUGACCUGUGGUUAGGGGUGAAAGGCCAAUCAAACUCCGUGAUAGCUGGUUCUCCCCGAAAUGCAUUUAGGUGCAGCGUCGUGUGUUUCUUGCCGGAGGUAGAGCACUGGAUAGGCGAUGGGCCCUACCGGGUUACUGACCUUAGCCAAACUCCGAAUGCCGGUAAGUGAGAGCGCGGCAGUGAGACUGUGGGGGAUAAGCUCCAUGGUCGAGAGGGAAACAGCCCAGAGCAUCGACUAAGGCCCCUAAGCGUACGCUAAGUGGGAAAGGAUGUGGAGUCGCAGAGACAACCAGGAGGUUGGCUUAGAAGCAGCCACCCUUGAAAGAGUGCGUAAUAGCUCACUGGUCAAGUGAUUCCGCGCCGACAAUGUAGCGGGGCUCAAGCGUACCGCCGAAGUCGUGUCAUUGCAGUAUGUACCCCCAACGGGGACUGUGAUGGGUAGGGGAGCGUCGUGUGCCGGGUGAAGCAGCCGCGGAAGCGAGUUGUGGACGGUUCACGAGUGAGAAUGCAGGCAUGAGUAGCGAUACACACGUGAGAAACGUGUGCGCCGAUUGACUAAGGGUUCCUGGGUCAAGCUGAUCUGCCCAGGGUAAGUCGGGACCUAAGGCGAGGCCGACAGGCGUAGUCGAUGGACAACCGGUUGAUAUUCCGGUACCCGCUUUGAAACGCCCAAUAUCGAAUCAGGCGAUGCUAAGUCCGUGAAGCCGCCCUGGAGUCUUCGGACAAAGGGGAGUGGUGGAGCCGACGAACCAGACUUGUAGUAGGUAAGCGAUGGGGUGACGCAGGAAGGUAGUCCAGCCCGGGCGGUGGUAGUCCCGGGGUAAGGGUGUAGGGCGUUGUGUAGGCAAAUCCGCACAACAUGCAGCCUGAGACCUGAUGCCGAGCCGAUUGUGGUGAAGUGGAUGAUCCUAUGCUGUCGAGAAAAGCCUCUAGCGAGUUUCAUGGCGGCCCGUACCCUAAACCGACUCAGGUGGUCAGGUAGAGAAUACCGAGGCGUUCGGGUGAACUAUGGUUAAGGAACUCGGCAAAAUGCCCCCGUAACUUCGGGAGAAGGGGGGCCAUGUCUGGUGAGGGAACUUGCUUCCUGAGCUGGGUGUGGCCGCAGAGACCAGCGAGAAGCGACUGUUUACUAAAAACACAGGUCCGUGCGAAGCCGUAAGGCGAUGUAUACGGACUGACGCCUGCCCGGUGCUGGAACGUUAAGGGGACCGGUUAGCUCCAUUUCGGUGGGGCGAAGCUGAGAACUUAAGCGCCAGUAAACGGCGGUGGUAACUAUAACAUCCUAAGGUAGCGAAAUUCCUUGUCGGGUAAGUUCCGACCUGCACGAAUGGCGUAACGACUUCUCGACUGUCUCAACCAUAGGCCCGGUGAAAUUGCACUACGAGUAAAGAUGCUCGUUUCGCGCAGCAGGACGGAAAGACCCCGGGACCUUUACUAUAGCUUGAUAUUGGUGUUCGGUUCGGCUUGUGUAGGAUAGGUGGAGACUGUGAAGCAUGCACGCCAGUGUGUGUGGAGUCGUCGUUGAAAUACCACUCUGGUCGUGCUGGAUGUCUAACCUG